GAAGCUCCAAGUUCAUUGAACGUCCAACUUCCCUGCAAUUCCACCGAAGACUUAACCCCACAAUCCUCUCUCUCCCGAUUCCUUCGUGCGACACCAGCACCAGCAGAGAGAAAGGAGCCCAGCUUCUUCAAUCUUCGGUCAGCUUGCACCAAAAGAAAGGCCACGUCCUCCCUCCACCGAAACCGCAGCUCCUUCGCACGCCUGCAACUAGCCCCCCUUGUCCACGUUUCUCUCCACUUGUUCUUGUCUCCUUACCGUUUGUUGACUGAAGACCAUCGAGCGAAGCUCCACCGGGUGCAGACGUCUUCAGCCACGCGUCUCCACCGAAUCAAACUCACGCGGUCAAUCUUCAGCGAAGAAGACCACCUUGCUGCAUCUGAGCGGCGCUGUGUCCACCUUGGUCGGCCACUCACGCCUGCUCUCCACCAACGUUGGUCUUUUCUCCUCAAGUCACCGAAAUCCGCUCGAAGCCAGCAUCAUUCGGCCACCUCUCCUCCCUGCAUGGUCAACAAACCGAGCCAGUGUUGACCUAGCAUCAGACCAGCGAACUCCACAUCAACUCCUCUUCAUUCGUCCGCUUCUCUGCCGCUUCACACGCCCGCAGCAGUCCACGUUCCCAGCGAAUCCUGCCGCGUCUUCCUCAACUCACGUCUUCAGCUGAAGCCGCGCCCUCUCUCCAGCUCGCCAGCACCACCGAAGGAAGAAGUCUCCACGCGUCCGAGUCUGCUCUUGGCUCGGUCAACAACGGCAGCAACCGAAGCUACUUGGUUGACCGCAAAAGCCCCACAACCGUGCAGCAGCUCCUUGGACCACCGAAGCCGCAAGCCCAGCCCAACGUCUCUUGCGGAUUCCCUUGUUCGGCCCAGCAGCUGGACCACUUGAAGUCCACGCAAAUUCCAGCCUAGUGAAUUUCUUUUGGGCCACAAGUUAGGCCCAGCAAAUUUAGCUCCAAAGCCCAGCAAGGCCAGCAGUUUUCAGCCCAAGAGAUCAGCCCAUUUUCAGCUUAGUUCAAGUCCAGCAAGUUGCAAGCCCAAUUAAGUUCAGCCCAGUCCAAAGGAAGCCCAGCCCGUGAGCUUCAGUCCUUUGGGCCACCGAAUUCAGCACAAGAUCAGCAAGCCCAGUUCAGCUAGCGCAGUUAGUUCAGUCCAGAAAUUCAGCAGGUCCAGCCCAUUCCAGUGCAAGAACAAAUCUCAAUUGGACUGAGAUUUGUUGGGCCCAAGUUAAAGGCCCGACCCAAGUCCGCCGGUGUUGUCGAAAGUUCGAUUUCGGCCGCCGUCGCGUCGCCGUUGCGGUGAUUCGAUCCCCGCUUUUGAUCAAGUGAGUUUUACUCACUAAUGCUUUAUUAGUUUGCUAAUUAUGCUUAAGGUUGGUUAGAUUUAAUUAAGUGCAAUUAGGUGGUUAGAUUAGGUUAGAACAAUUAAUUUAGUGACUUGAUGAUGCAUGUUAGGUGGUUAGACCUAGCUAUUAGCAAGUAGAAAUGUUUGGUUAUUUAUUGAAUGCAUCUCGGGAUUUUUCCCGACCCGUUUCGGGCUCCAAUAAGGCAAUAUGGGCCUAAAUUGGAUUUUCAAUGUUUAUUUAUUUAUUUUCGAAAUUCAUUUAUUUAAUUAAUUAUUUUUCCGGAAAUUCAACCGGGAUGGCCGGUGACCGGAAUUUCGUGCUGAUUGUCGUGGUGUAGCUCGUUUAUUCAUUUGAGCUCUACGUUGUGUGGAAUUGAAUUAAUUGUGAAAUUUGAGGAUUUAUCCUUAAAUGUUUGUUAUUGAAUAUUUGAUUGGUAAUGGCCAAGCAUGGGUAUAUAGCGCCAGUACGUUGAUGGGCUAUAUAGUAGGGAGAACGGUGAGAGUUAACUGAGAAUGUUAUUGGUUGAGACCAAUCAGGUAUGAUGUUAUUGGACAUACGUGGUUCGGUGAUUGGAAGUAUCACUGGCGAAAACGGCGCCUUAAAGAACGCACGUAAAUGACUUAUAGACAAAUGUGGUUCGGUGGUUAUGGGAAUACCACUGGUGAAAACGGCGCCUUAAAGAACGCACGAUGUUGUCUAUAGCCGAUGUCACCUUGGCGAAAACGGAGCCCUUGAAAGGACACGUGGUUCGGUGAUCAAGGUUAUCACUGGUGAAAACGGCGCCUUAAAGAAUGCACGGUGUCGGUGAUCGGUAUGUCAUUGGCGAAAACGACGCCCGAGAAACACAUGUGAUUUGGUGAAUAAGUACACCACUGGGAAAUCGUGGUAUGAGUGGGAAUGACCUAGAAAGGGUCUGGCUGACAUGUAAUCGACUUAGUCGAUUGACCAGUGCUUGAUCGGAUGUCGUGAAUUGUUUGAAUAUCUGUGUUUAACCUUGAAUUGCAGGUUGGAACUGAGGCUAAGGUAAGUCCUCUGACUCGUGUUGUGCUUAGGCAACUGUAUGGUGUAUUAGUUUACUAAUCGAGUCGUAGGGGGUAGGACUCGCUGAGACGUGGUCUCAUUGGUUAUUGAAUAACCAUUUCAGGACCCUGAGGAAAAGCUGAGGAGGAAGAACCUGAAGGGGAGAAAGUAUUUUGAAGUAGAAGAUGAUCCAGAGAGGGAUCUUGAGUACAACCCAGAUGUGGAUUGAGAUCCCAUCCCUUUUGUGCACCCUGUCUUAGUGUAGAUAGGUGUGAGACUUUUAUGUUGUAAAUAGUAUUGUAAAUAUACUAUGAGUUGUGCUGUUAAUGAAAGUGUGGUUAUGAAUUUCAA
Molecule: long non-coding RNA, 2709 nt
Filed under: Eucalyptus grandis
Lineage: Eukaryota; Viridiplantae; Streptophyta; Magnoliopsida; Myrtales; Myrtaceae
Description: long non-coding RNA (EGRA_LNC005195)
Source: RNAcentral